Molecule: non-coding RNA, 1289 nt
Organism: Manis pentadactyla (Chinese pangolin)
Lineage: Eukaryota; Metazoa; Chordata; Mammalia; Pholidota; Manidae
Source: the annotation of a RefSeq genome assembly
GGAAGUGAGAGAAGUGCAGGAGGGUGAAGGCAAGUUGAUGAUUCUGGAGACAGGAGAGAAGUCACCUGCCUUCUCACAGGAGAGAUGAACCAGCUCCUGGGGGCAUCACUGUUGAUCCUGUGGCUUCAGCCAGACUGGGUGAGCAGUCAGCAGAAGAGUGGUGACCAGCAGCAGGUUAAGCAAACGUCUCCAUCCCUGAGUGUCCAAGAACAAAGAGUUGCUAUUCUGAGCUGUGACUACAAUAAUAAUUUGUUUGAUUACUUCCUAUGGUACAAGAAAUACCCUGCUAGAGGUCCUGCACUCCUGAUAUCUACAGGUUCAGAUAAAAAAGAAGAUGGAAGAUUCACAAUCUUCCUCAACAAGAGUGCCAAACACUUCUCGCUGCACAUUGCAGACUCCCAGCUGGGUGACACAGCCUUGUACCUGUGCGCGGCAAGUGCACUGUGCUCUCCAGGCACCUGCAGCCUGUACCCAAACCUGCAGCUGGGUCCAAGCCACCCCUUCUUCAGAGUCUCAGUGUGUGAGGCACUAAGAAAUGCUUCAAUUUAUACAAGGCAGUAGGGAGGGUGUGCUUUAAAGCAGGGAAGGCAAGCUGAGCUUUAAGGAGACUGAUACAUGGGAGUCCUGCAAUUGGGUCAAGAACAUCCCUGGGCAUUCAGGUAUCCAAGAGUGUAACCAUUCUACUUUUUCAUUUAGUGACUGUAGAGAAUAGGGUUUAUGCUUCGAAAGCUCAACUACAGGACCCACACUAGGAGUCCCUCACAAAGCUGCCUCCCAGUAGAAGCCAUUAACUAAGCACGCACACUUUUGAAAAACUGCCAAUUCAUACAAUUCUUAGCAUACGUUUCUUCAUCAGUGACCCAGGGAAGGAUCUGAUUGUCAGUCACAAAUCAUGAAAGCCUGAUGCUAGUUUUAUUUAUAGAUAUUGUGCUUACAGAUAAAUGGUUGGAACUUACCCCUCAAGGGCUAAUUUUCUGAAGCUGAAGAUCCUUAUAGUUGAAGAAUGAAGAAAUUCAGAAUAUGUCUCUGGAAGCGAGAUGCCUCUGGAAACUCAUUACUUGGGGCAUUGUCUGGACAGGGUCUUCAGGGAUGCUGAAGACUUUUCUGAAUAGAAUAGGAUUGAUCCAGAGCUUCUCAAAACUGGUUCAUCCAGGGAUCCUCAUGGGGAUGGUUUAACUGUAGAGAGUCCUAUCGUAUUAGAUUCUCUAUUUCUGAACAUGGAUGUGCAGCUAACUCAAUGUGGAUUAGAUCCCUCAUCCCUCCAUAUGCAGGAGUAAGAGUGUACCAAU